Molecule: ribosomal RNA, 963 nt
Filed under: Anomala rufocuprea
Lineage: Eukaryota; Metazoa; Arthropoda; Insecta; Coleoptera; Scarabaeidae
Description: partial 16S ribosomal RNA
Source: RNAcentral
AUUUUCUCGAAUUAUAAAGAGCUAAUAUAAUAUAAAUUUAAUUGUGGCAUAAAUUUUUACAAUAUUAUAUUAGAAAUGAAACGUUAUUCGUUUUUUAAGAUAUCUAGUUUCUUAAGAAAUAAAUUUAAUUUAGUUUGUAUAUUAUAUAUAAUUAAUUUUUUAGUUAUAUUUAUAUAGAAAGUAAUAUUUUAAGGGAUAAGCUUUAAAAUAAAGUAUUAAAAAUAAUAUAUUUUGAAUAAAAAUUAGUAGGAUUGGAAGUGUUUAUCUUUAGUUUGUUAUAAAUAAUUUUUAUUAGAAUAAGAUUUAUAUAGUUUUUAAGUUAUUUAUUAAGAUAAUAUAUAUAAUAUUAUUAUAUAUGUAAUAAUGAUAAAAUUAGUAUAUGAUUUUAAUGUAAAAUUAAGUUAAGUAAUCAAGGUUAAGUUAAGGAACUCGGCAAAUGUAUUUUCCGCCUGUUUAUUAAAAACAUGUCUUUUUGAUUAUAAUUUAAAGUCUGACCUGCCCAAUGAGGAGUUGAAUGGCCGCGGUAAUUUGACCGUGCAAAGGUAGCAUAAUCAUUAGUUUUUUAAUUGAAAGCUGGAAUGAACGGUUGGACGAGAAAAUAACUGUCUCAAUUUAAUUGAAUGUAGAAUUUUAUUUAUAAGUAAAAAAGCUUAUAUGAAUUUAAAAGACGAGAAGACCCUAUAGAGUUUUAUAGUUUUUUAUAUUAAAGAAUUUUAGAAUGUUUAUAUUUUUAAUAUAAAAAAUUAUUUUGCUGGGGCAGCAGAAAAAUUUAUUGAACUUUUUUUAUAAUUUUACAUUGAUUUAUGAUUUAAUGAUCCAUUAUUUAUGAUUAUAAGAUUAAAUUACCUUAGGGAUAACAGCGUAAUUUUUUUUUAGAGUUCUUAUCGAAAAAAGAGUUUGCGACCUCGAUGUUGGAUUAAAAUUAACUUUUGGUGUAGGGGCUAAAAGGUUAGGUCUGUUCGA